This 460-nucleotide ribosomal RNA is filed under the name uncultured bacterium. RNAcentral's name for it is "partial 16S ribosomal RNA". It matches the Rfam family "Bacterial small subunit ribosomal RNA", at positions 338 to 795 of the family's 1533-position model. The record is from RNAcentral.
CCUACGGGCGGCAGCAGUGAGGAAUAUUGGUCAAUGGGCGCGAGUCUGAACGAGCCAAGUAGCGUGAAGGAUGACUGCUCUACGGAUGGUAAACUUCUUUUAUAAAGGAAUAAAGUGAGUCACGUGUGCCUUUUUGUAUGUACUUUGUGAAUAAGGGUGGGCUAACUCCGGGCCAGCAGCCGCGGUAAUACGGAGGAUCCGAGCGUUAUCCGGAUUUAUUGGGUUUAAAGGGAGCGUAGAUGGGUUGUAAAGUUCGUUGGUAAAGAUUGCGGCCCAACCGUAAUAUUGCAAAUGAUACUGGCAGUCUUGAGUACAGUUGAGGUAGGCGGAAUUCGAGGUGUAGCGGUGAAAUGCUUAGAUAUCACUAAGAACUCCGAUUGCGAAGGCAGCUUACUAAGCUUGUACUGACAUUGAUGCACGAAAGUGUGGGUAGCAAACAGGAUUAGAUACCCCUGUAGUC